GCAGAUCCAUUUUCUGCCACCGAAUACAUUAGCAUGGGAUAAUGGAAUAGGACCCUGUCCUCCUAUUUUCAGUUGGUUUUGGCAGCGCGAGGACUAGGGUAAUGAUUAAUAGGGAUAGUUGGGGGCAUUAAUAUUUAAUUGUCAGAGGUGAAAUUCUUGGAUUUAUGAAAGAUUAACUUCUGCGAAAGCAUCUGCCAAGGAUGUUUUCAUUAAUCAAGAACGAAAGUUAGGGGAUCGAAGACGAUCAGAUACCGUCGUAGUCUUAACCAUAAACGAUGCCGACCAGCGAUUAGGAGACGUUGAAUACAAAACACCACCAUCGGCGCGGUCGUCCUUGGCGUCGGUCCUUCACGGGGCCGGCGCGAGGGCGGCUUAGCCCGGUGGCACCGGUGAAUGACUCCCCUAAGGUG
Molecule: ribosomal RNA, 410 nt
Filed under: Acanthamoeba genotype T4
Lineage: Eukaryota; Discosea; Longamoebia; Acanthamoebidae
Description: SSU rRNA
Rfam family: Eukaryotic small subunit ribosomal RNA
Source: RNAcentral